This 1157-nucleotide ribosomal RNA is filed under the name Ilyoplax punctata. Its description in RNAcentral is "partial 16S ribosomal RNA". The record is from RNAcentral. Lineage: Eukaryota; Metazoa; Arthropoda; Malacostraca; Decapoda; Dotillidae.
AUAUAUCAUAAAGCUUGUUUUUAAUCUUAAUUUAAACUCCAUAUAUUUUGAAAAAUAAUUUUUUUCUUCGAGUAAUUUUUAAUAAAACAAAAUAAACAACUAUAGUUUACAAGUACUUUAAAGGAAAGCCAACUAACAAUCAAUAAUAGAAUGAAUUAAAACCUUUACCUUGUGUAUUAGGGAAGAUUUAUAUAACCCAACUAUACUGCCCAUCCCGAAAUAAAGACAGCUAAGUUUAUAUUACCUCUACUGUAAAAUAAAUAUGUUUAAUAUAAACUUAAAGGUAAAAUGCUAAUCGAGUUUUAUUAUAUCUGGUUUUUUUAAAUUUAAUUAAAUUUCUAGCUUAGGUUAAAAUAAUCAUACCUAAAACUCAAUUAUAGGAGGGACUAGCUUCUUAUAUUAAACAAAUAAAAAGUAAUUAACAGAAUAUUAACUUCAAUUAAGCUUAAAAAUAGCUAUACUAAUAAAAUGUUACAAUUAAAUUAAUUAAAUAAACUAUUUAUACUUACUUUUAAAAACUAUAAAAAACCUAUAUGUAGUAAGAAAAAAUAAAUUAUAAUGAUCUUAUUAGUAAAAUUUUAAUGUCCGCUAUAAAACUAAAAUAACAAAUAUAAAUUAAACAAAAGAAAAAAAAAUAAAGGAACUCGGCAAACUAAUUCCCUGCCUGUUUAUCAAAAACAUGUCUGUUUGAGAAUAUAAAAAGUCUAGCCUGCCCACUGAAUAUAUUUAUUUUAACGGCCGCGGUAUUUUGACCGUGCAAAGGUAGCAUAAUCGUUUGAUUUUUAAUUGAAAUCUUGUAUGAAUGGUUUGACAAGGGAAAAACUGUCUCUGUUUUUAAAAUUGAAUUUAACUUCCAAGUGAAAAGGCUUAGAUAAAUUAAAAAGACGAUAAGACCCUAUAAAACUUUACAUAAAAUUUUAUUUAAUUAACUUAUAAACCUAUAAAAAUUUAAUAAAAACUUUAUGUUAUGUUGGGGUAACAUAGAUAUAAAGUCAAUAAUUGUCUUAACUUUUAUACACUUAUUAAUGAUUAAAAUUUUAACUGAUCCUUAAUAAAGACCAAGAGUUUAAGUUACUUUAGGGAUAACAGCGUUAUUUUUUUUGAGAGUUCUUAUCGAAAGAAAAGAUUGCGACCUCGAUGUUGAAUUAAAGUUUCUU